Molecule: long non-coding RNA, 9428 nt
Filed under: Fragaria vesca (wild strawberry)
Lineage: Eukaryota; Viridiplantae; Streptophyta; Magnoliopsida; Rosales; Rosaceae
Description: long non-coding RNA (FVES_LNC003951)
Source: RNAcentral
CAUUGAAUAAGGUUGGAUUAUCACUAGUUCUCCUUUUCUCACACUAUGUCCAUCUGGCCAAGUAUCAUCAGAAAAACAACCCCUAGCUAUCUAUGAUCAAAUAAGAGGCUUAAAUUAUUAAAUAAGAAGUAAUACACCAGCUAAGAAUCGUAACUUUUAAUUCAUGUAUGAUAUUUAUCAAAGAUGUUUAAGUUACCAUUGGAACUGCAGGAUAGAGUCUGAGUGUCUCAUUCAAAGCAGCAUGGAGAUAUUGCAUUUUGCUAAGGGCUUCUUUAGUAAGGUUGGCUGCAAGUUCAUCAGGGCUUGAAGUAUUAUUCAGGCCUGUUGCUUCUCUAAUUUCCUGUGCAAUCUUAUCUUGUAUAUCAAGAUGCUUGCACAUCAUAUAAAUAAACCAUGAAAGAGCAGAUGUAGUUGUGUCUUUGCCGGCAGCAAUAAAAUUGAAGACCAUGUCUCUCAAGUACUUUGGAUCAGUCUCCCUAGUUUCAAUGAGUCUAGAGAUAAAGUCACUUUUCUUUAACUGCCAUCAAACCUCAACAUAUCAUCAAUAACAUUAGUUGAAGCAACCAAUAGAAUAUCAAUGAAAUUUAGAACAGAAAGGAAGGUAAAAACUCACAGGUAACUCAUCAUCUUCUGAAUUUUGAAGUGUUUCAAUCUUCCUGUUGAUUAGAUUGUAUACAAAUUUAUCCACCACUUUUAUGUUUUCUUUUAUCAUUGCUUCGGAUCCAAUGUUCAAGAACCGUUUAAUCUUCCAGAAGAUAUCAAAAACACGAUAAAGGGUAGCUCCAUUUGAUUCAUCAGAAGCAUUUGAAAACUGGAUACUUUCUUCAUUGUUUGUUCCAGACAAGGUGUCUAGAUCGAAACCAAGUAGAAUCAUGACGAUUGAAUCCAAGGUUGAUUUCAUAAACAAAUCCUUCCACCAAAAGGAACAUAAAGUAAUUAAUUUAUAUGCACGCUAGACAAACAGAAUAUACAACCUACCUAAAGUGCAAUAUCUGUAGUAUGUGAUCUCUGAUACUGUGAGACAUGGCAAACUUACUUGGAUAUCUAUUGAUUUGCUACAGUUUGCAGCUUGAUGAAUUUUGCCAGCCAGUUUCAAUCCAUUUGUUUUGAAGAUUUCACUGCUGAAGUCCCUGAGUACUUUGGUUGAGAACUGAGAGCUUGAUGCCUUCCUCUGAUGCAUCCAUUUGUCCCCAUCCACAGCAAAGAUCCCAUCUCCCAUAUAAUCAGACAGAAUUUCAUGCAGGUACAAUCCCUAAAAGGAAAUGGUCGACUUAAGCUUUAUGAUCGAUCAUUUUAUAAUUGGGCAUCUAUAUUCCUAAUUUUCUUUCAAAUAGUGAUAUUGCAUGUCUGGCCUUUGGGGUUAAUAUAUAACAUACCUUGCUAUAGUUCGCAAAGUUUGUUUUGAACACGUAUUCCACAUUUGCAGGAUCUGCAGUGUAAACAAUAAUUCUGAACAAGCUAAGCAUUCUGUAAGUUUUGUAUUUGUAGGCAAGCUCAGUCAUGUAAUGGUGCACCCUGUGGAAGUUGAUCAGUUGGUGUAAGACGGUUCCGGCAAGAGGAGGGUAUCUCUUGUUCUUCUCCGGCCACAAAAAUACUGCUAAAAGAACAAGUACCGGUAAACUUAUUGCUAUCUUAGCUAAAGGCAGGCUGGAAAGAAAAUCCAUGACCAAAAUAUAUGCUUAUGGGAUAUUGAAGAUGAUCAUGAAUUUAGGACAACCACAUAUAUAUGUUCUCAAAUGCUAGACUCCAGAGUUUUCAAGGGGUUGUGUAAAUUAAUUUGAGAGCGCGACAGUCCUUUAUUUGCAGCUUCCAAUUCUCAUCAAAUUUUCAGUUUUGUAGUCUAAAAGGCAUCGAUAUCAGGUAGCGUUCGUGUCGUGUCGAACCUUCGCAAGGGAAUUUACAAUUAAUGGUCAUGUUUAUGCUAACUUGAUUUUUUAUCAGUAAGUUUUGUGUGAUAUGUAACAAGUAACUGAUUUUGACACGGUAACCUUGUGAGUAUUUGGAAAUUGAUCUCUCUAAAUUGUCAUCCGUUGAUGCUACUUAUAUACACACCAACUGAAUCAGCUCAAACCAGAUAUACACUUAAGUACUGCAUAUACUUAUCUGCAGUGUUCAUAUAAUCAUAUAUAAUUAAAUACACUUAAUGAAAUCCAUUAUCACUUAUUGAUUUAUUGUAAUGCCAAAUGAUGCAUAUACCUUGAUUUUACUUAUGGAAAAGGCUCAUCAACAAGAAGUUGUUGAUCACAAGUUUAAUGUUUCAAAUAUGAGACUAACAUCUGAUACAACUUUCUUGCAAUGCUCAAACUCUUAGAAAGGCAUGAACAUGAAGUCUCUUGAUAUCGAGCGUGACCAUCGUCCUGUAUUCCACCACUUUUGUCUCGUCAGUGAGCUUGAAUAUGUACUUGGUUAAAAGCACAGCACAGAAUAUCUUCAUUUGCAGAUAACUAUAAUCCUUUCCUAGACAAAUUCUUGGACCGGCCUGCAUCAUAACUAUAUCAUCAGAACUUCUAUAACUAAGCAACCGUAUCAAGAAAAUAUUAGCUUGGUGUUCUUCAUAUAUUACAUUGAAGGCUAUGAAUUUGAAAGGGCUUUCUUCUUUGAAAUUGCCAUUUCCGUCAAGCCAUCUCUCUGGCCGGAACUCUUCUGCAUCAUCACCCCAUAUAUGCUUCAUCCGGCCCAUUGAAUAAGGUUGGUAUACGAUCAUUUCUCCUUUUCUCACACUAUGUCCAUCUGGCCAGGUAUCAUCCGAAAAACAAACCCUCGCAUUCUAUGAACAAAUAAGAACAUCAACAUUAUUAAUUAAUUAAUUAGAAGUAAUGUAAAGAGAGAUUCAAAUCAAGAAGAACAAAUUAAGAAACGUAAAAUUCAGUUCACGUAUAUGACAUUUAUCCUAGAUGUUUAAGUUACCAUUGGAACUGUAGGAUAAAGUCUGAGUGUCUCAUACAAAACAGCAUGGAGAUAUUGCAUUUUGCUAAGGGCUUCUUCAGUAAGGUUGGCUGCAACUUCAUCAGCGCUUGAAGUAAUAUUCAGACCUGUUGCUUCUCUAACUUCCUGUGCAAUCUUAUCUUGUAUAUCAAGAUGCUUACACAUCAUAUAAAUAAACCAUGAAAGAGCAGAAGUAGUUGUGUCUUUGCCCGCAGCAAUAAAACUGAAGACCAUGUCUCUCAAGUAUUUUGGAUCAGUCUCUUUAGCUUCCAAUAGUUUGGAGAUAAAGUCUCUUCUCUUCAACUGUGAUUUAACCUCACAAUAUCAGUAACAUCAAAUCAAUUAAUACUAUGUUAUUUCAAUCUAGAGUAGAAAGGAAGGUACGUAACUCACAGGUUGCUCGUAUUGUUCUUCUGACUUAUGGAGUUUUUCAAUCUUUAUGUCGAUUAAAUUGUAUAUAAAGUCAUCCAACACUUUCAUAUUUUUUCUUAUCGCUGCUUCCGUACCAAUGUUUAAGAACCGUUUGAUCCUCCAAAAGACAUCACCAACACGAUAAAUGAUAGAUCCGCUUGCAUAAGCAAGAGCAUUGGCAAACCGGAUACCUUCAUUGUUUGUUGCAGACAUGGUAUCUAGAUCGAUACCAAGUAGAAUCUUGACGAUUGAAUCCAAGGUCGAUUGCAAAAACAAAACCUUCCAACAGAACGAAGAUCAUUAAUUCAUAGACUGAUAUUCAACAUUAAAAAAAAAAAAAUCAAGAAAUCUGAACAUACAGACAUACAGUGCUACAUUUACUCUUGUCUAUUGCAACUCACUUGCAUCUCUAUUGAUUUGCCGCAGGUUGCAGCUUCAUGAAUUAUGCUAGCAAGUUUGACUGCAUUGGUCUUGAAGAUUUCACUGCUGAAGUCUCUAAGUACUUUGGUUGAGAAUUGCGAGCUUGAUGCCUUCCUCUGAUGCCUCCAUUUGUCCCCAUCCACAGAAAAGAUCCCAUCGCCCAACACAUCAUACAGAAUGCUAUGCAGGUAAUAUCCCUACAAAGAAAUGGUGUACAAACUUAAGCCUCUUGAUCAAUUAUUUUUAGCAUAUUCCUAUGGAUUUUCAUAUAUUGAAAUAAAAAUGAAAGCUUUUGUACCUUGCCAUAGUUAGCAACAUUUGUUUUGAGCACGUAUUCGACAUUUACAGGAUCUGCCGUGUAGACUGUGUAUCUAAAAAAGCCAAGCAUCCUGUAAGUUCUGUACUUGCAUGCAAGCUCUGUCAUAUAAUGGUGCAACUUGCGGCGGUAUUUCAGUUGGUGGAAGAGGGUUCCGGCAACUGGAGGGUAUCUCUUGUUCUUCUUUUGCAUAAAUAUUACUCCUAAAAGGAACAUGACUGCUAAACUUAUUGCAAUGGGAGGUAAAGGAGUGGAAAGAAGAAAAUCCAUGACCAAAAUUCUUAUGGGAUAUUGGAGUUGACAAUGAAGUUAGAACUAGACAACCUGAGUCCCUUAAAUCAUUGUAACAGCUGCCUCGCAACAAAAAAGAUAUCAAGAGGGAUCAUUGGGAUCAGACAUAUAUUAGUUUCGAAGUGGUUCAAUUAUGACUGUACUCUACUGGUCAUAAUUUCUAACGGUAUUGGCAAGACAGUAUUAGAUAAGCUUUCACGCGACUUCAAUUUUGUAGUUUCCAAUCGGGUAAGGUUAUAGACUUAUAACCUCUCACAGAGAAAGACUCCAGAACGUCUCUAACUCCUCCUCAAUUAAUUAACUUCUAGAUACCUAACUGGCUAACUGUCUCUCGUCAAUGAAUACUGCUCUAUUUACAGAUUGGCUUCUGUAUGAUCUCUCACAGCUCAAUUUGUGUUGCUGCUGUAUCAUUGAAAUAAGUAUUCCCACUUCAGGCGGUUUAAUUUGUUUAAAGGAUAUGGAUUAUGCACAAAACAAACAAACGCUAAGCAAAAUGAUGCUGAUAUUUGUCAAAAAUGCUACCCUGAUUUGCUCAGCGUUUAGCAAAUGAAGCCCUGUUAAAGAGUUAGGGGUCAGAAAGCUCACCUUCAAGUUGCCAUUUGAAAUAUAAACAACUAAAUCACUUAAACUAAGAACAAAUGCUUAACAACAUAUUAAUUGCACAUGAUGCAUCGAUCAUAGCCAUCUCAUAAUUUAGUAGAUGAGCCUCCAAAAUAUACUUCAAGGCAGGUAAAGCCAUUUACACAUUUAAAAUAUAAACAAUUUAUAACUAGUGUAUUUCAACUGUUUUUUGUGGUUAAAAUCAUGAUGCAUAUUGGCCAUGCCAAAAUGCAAACGCUAAGCAUAGUGAUUCUGAAUUUCUGAUAUCUGAAAAGUGCAGUACUAUGUCGAAAUUAUGAGAGGAAAAAAACCCUCUAUCCCUUAUUUACUCCGUUAGCAUAUAGCAAACGGUCACAGAAGCUCAUUAGGUCUCAAGUCUCAAGGAUCAAGAGAUUUGAGACUGUGUUCUGUUUCCCCCUUACGUACGUUUGGUAUUUCUAUUUUUGGUUUUGAGUCCUAGCAUGUUCCUCUUUACCCUGGACAUCGAUCAUCUUUCUCACGAAAAUUCUUGUAUUCACUUUGUAAAAUUUUAUAUUUUCACUCUUAUUUCUAGCAACCGGACCAAUAGCAGUUAGAUUGUCAAAAGAUUCUGUUUUUGUAACUAUGAUUAUACUUCCAUUGAAUACAUGAAGAAUCCCAUUUUCUCAAAAAACAAACAGAGGCUUUCAGUGUUCUUGGACAGAAUAUACUGCACUUAAACCAAGUGAAUCAGCUCAAACCAAUAUCAUAAACAAUCAAAAUCAAUGCAGAUCAAGCUUCCACAAAGAAGUUGAAGACAAAUAUCAAAAUCCACAGAAUAUACACUUAGAUACUGCAUAUACCUUAGACUUAUUUCAUAAACAAAUCCUUCCACCAAAAGGCACAUAAAGUAAUUAAUUUAUAUGCACGCUAGACAAUCAGAACAAUGAGAAUAUACAACCAACCUAAAGUGCAAUAUCUGUAGUAUGUGAUCUCUGAUACUGUACGUGAGACAUUGCAAACUUACUUGGAUAUCUAUUGAUUUGCUACAGUUUGCAGCUUGAUGAAUUAUGCCAGCCAGUUUCAAUCCAUUUGUUUUGAAGAUUUCACUGCUGAAGUCCCUGAGUACUUUGGUUGAGAACUGAGAGCUUGAUGCCUUCCUCUGAUGCAUCCAUUUGUCCCCAUCCACAGCGUAGAUCCCAUCUCCCAUAUAAUCAGACAGAAUUUCAUGCAGGUACAAUCCCUAAAAAGAAAUGGUCGACUUAAGCUUUAUGAUCGAUCAUUUUAUAAUUGGGCAUUUAUAUUCCUAAUUUUCUUUCAAAUAGUGAUAUUGCAUGUCUGGCCUUUGGGGUUAAUAUAUAACGUACCUUGCUAUAGUUCGCAAAGUUUGUUUUGAACACGUAUUCCACAUUUGCAGGAUCUGCAGUGUAAACAAUAGUCCUGAACAAGCUAAGCAUUCUGUAAGUUCUGUAUUUGUAGGCAAGCUCAGUCAUGUAAUGGAAUCAGUUGGUGUAAGACGGUUCCGGCGAGAGGAGGGUAUCUUUUGUUGUUCUCUGGCCAAAAAAAAUAACUGCUAAAAGAACAAGUACUGGUAACUUAUUGCUAUCUUAGCUAAAGGCAGGCUGGAAAGAAAAUCCAUGACCAAUAUAUAUGCUUAUGGGAUAUUGAAGAUGAUCAUGAAUUUAGGACAACAUAUAUAUAUAUAUAUAUAUAUAUAUAUNNNNNNNNNNNNNNNNNNNNCAAUUACCUCUUUAAGGACACAUGAGUAAUAAUGUUGUAACUAAUUUUUUUUACUAACUUUAAGGACUCAUAUUAUAAUUUUAAGGAUUAAUAUUACUACUUUGAGGACACUUUUUACAACUUGAGGACAAAGUUGACGCAUCACAUGCAUUAACACACCCUAACCUUACCCCUCAUCAAACUCUUAGUUUUGUAGUCUAAAAUGCAUUGAUAUCAAGUUGCGUUCGUGUCGUGUUGAGCCUUCGCAAGGGAAGUUACAAUUAAUAGUCAUGUUUAUGCUAACUUGAUUUUUAUCAGUAAGUUUUGUGUGAUAUAUAUGUAACAACUGAUUUGGACAUGAAAACCUUGUGAGUAUUUGGAAAUUGAUAUCUCUAAAUUGUCCAUCCGUCGAUGCUACUGAUAUAUAUACACACCAACUGAAUCUGCUCAAGCUAUUAAAUCAAUGCAGAGCAAACUAAUUCCACAAAGAAAUUGAAGACAAAUAUCAAAAUCCAGAGUAUACACUUAAUUACUGCAUAUACUUAUCUGCAGUGUUCUUAUAAUCAUUUAUAAUUAAAUACACUUCAUGAAAUCCAUCAUCACUUACUGAUUUAUUGUAAUGCCAAAUGAUGCAUAUACCUUGAUUAAAGGCUCAUCAACAAGAAGUUGUUGAUCACAAGUUUGAUGUUUCAAAUAUGAGACUAACAUCUGAUACAACUUUCUUACAAUGCUCAAACUCUUGGAAAGGCAUGAACAUGAAGUCUCUUGAUAUCGAGCGUGACCAUCGUCCUGUAUUCCACCACUUUUGUCUCGUCAGUGAGCUUGAAUAUGUACUUGGUUAAAAGCACAGCACAGAAUAUCUUCAUUUGCAGAUAACUAUAAUCCUUUCCCAGACAAAUUCUUGGACCGGCCUGCAUCAUAACUAUAUCAUCAGAACAUCUAUAACUAAGCAACCUUAUCAAGAAAAUAUUAGCUUGGUGUUCUUCGUAUAUUACACUGAAGGUUAUGAAUUUGAAAGGGUUUUCUUCUUUGAAAUUGCCAUUUCCGUCAAGCCAUCUCUCUGGCCGGAACUCUUCUGCAUCAUCACCCCAUAUAUACUUCAUCCGGCCCAUUGAAUAAGGUUGGUAUACGAUCAUUUCUCCUUUUCUCACACUAUGUCCAUCUGGCCAGGUAUCAUCAGAAAAACAAACCCUCGCAUUCUAUGAACAAAUACGAACAUCAACAUUAUUAAUAAAUUAAUUAGAAGUAAUGUAAAGAGAGAUUCAAAUCAAGAAGAACAAAUUAAGAAACGUAACAUUCAGUUCAUGUAUAUGACAUUUAGAGUAAUGCUACGUGAACCACCUAGAGUCCACCUUACGUGGCAAGCUGACGUGGCAUAUCCACAUUAUCAAUAUAAGAUUUCUAAUAUUUUAAAUUUCUGUUUUUUAUUAUUAAUUACGAAAUCUCAUUUUUCAUUUUGUAUUCUUUGAACCCUAUCAUAUUAUCUAUUUAUCGUCUAAUCGUUUAAAACAAAAUCCUAACAAAAAUCCUUAUAAUAAGUCUUCAAACAGACGUGAUUCUAUCAUAUCUUCCUCUCAUCUCUCCCAUCCUCCCACCUUAUCUUCAAUUCAAUUGAUUAGGAAUUCUCAAUCUGAUUUUGGCUUUGUCAAUCACAAACAUUCCAUGCCUAUUCUCUAGAAUAGUCAGAGAAUGUUUUUUUUUUUUGCCCUUUUCAUAACAUGUUUGGAAUUAAGGGUUUGGGGGAGUGGAUUUGAAUUGGGGUUCAUAUUAUAGCUAUGAUUUUGAAUUAGGGUUCAUACUCUCACAUGUGAUUUUGAAUUAGGGUUCAUACCCAAACCCUUAAUUCCAAACAUGUUAUGAAAGGAAAAGAAAGAUGAAGAAACAGUAAUCACAAUUAGAAUAGGCAGAGGAUGUUUGCGAGAAAGCCGAGAUCAAACUGAGAAUUCCUUUAUCAAUUGAAUUAAAUAAGAGGUGGGAGGAUGGGGUGAGAUAACAGGAUGGAUAGAACUACGUCGGUUUUGAAGAUGUAUUGUACAUAGGCAAAAAGAACUUCUUCUUUUUUUUUGGUAAGGAUUAGAAAGACAAAGGAUAUAGGGUUUAAAAAAAAAUAAAAAAGAAAAAAAAAAUUAGUAAUUAAUAAUAAAAAAACAGAAAUUUAAAAUAUUAGCUUAUAUUGAUGACGUGGAUAUGCCACAUUAGCUUGUCACGUAAGAUGGGCUCUAGAUAUUUCACCUAGCAUUACUCAUGACAUUUAUCCUAGAUGUUUAAGUUACCAUUGGAACUGCAGGAUAGAGUCUCAGUGUCUCGGUCAAGGCUGCAUGGAGGUAUUGCAUUUUAUUAAGGGCUUCUUCAGUAAGGUUGGCUGCAACUUCAUCAGCGCUUGAAGUAUUAUUCAGACCUGUUGCUUCUCUAACUUCCUGUGCAAUCUUCUCUUGUAUAUCAAGAUGCUUACACAUCAUAUAAAUAAACCAUGAAAGAGCAGAAGUAGUUGUGUCUUUGCCCGCAGCAAUAAAACUGAGGACCAUGUCUCUCAAGUACUUUGGAUCAGUCUCUUUAGCUUCCAAUAGUUUGGAAAUAAAGUCUCUUCUCUUUAACUGUGAUUUAACCUCAAAAUAUCAGUAACAUCAAAUCAAUUAAUACUAUGUUAUUUCAACCUAGAGUAGAAAGGAAGGUACGUAACUCACAGGUUGCUCGUAUUGUUCUUCUGACUUACGGAGUUUUUCAAUCUUUAUGUUGAUUAAAUUGUAUACAAAGUCAUCCAACACUUUCAUAUUUCUUCUUAUCGCUG